This is a non-coding RNA of Nicotiana tabacum (common tobacco), 1822 nucleotides long. The record is from RefSeq and is a predicted model, not a curated record. Lineage: Eukaryota; Viridiplantae; Streptophyta; Magnoliopsida; Solanales; Solanaceae.
AUAAACUACCUACUAACCUUCUACCUUAAUCCUCGACCUCCACACCCUCCUAUCAACGGUCAUGUCCUCCGUGAGCUGAAGCAGCGGUAUGUCCCGCCUAAUCACCUCUCCCCAGUACUUAGGAGAGCCAAUAGGCAUAUCUUUUUAAUUCUUAUAAACAAAUUCUCUAAUUGAACUUUCUCUGUACUCUUAUCUCCACCAUGCACCCAUUCCGUCAAAAAGGACAACUCCCUGCAAAGCUAGUUGAUUUGGGCUAUGUAUCAAAAGCUGUUAUAAAUCUCAUGUAUAGUUCCUCAUUAUUUCUGACCCAGCCUCCAUCUUUUUACCUGUAAUAUAGGUGGUGCUUUUCUUUGUCAUUUUGGCUCAAAAUGUUGUUAUACAUGCAUGCGUGAUAACUACUUUACGAGAGAAAUAAAUUGUUGCUUACAGAAGAAAAAAAUUGCUAGGAAAUUUAAUCUAAUAUAGACAACUCAUAAUGGAGCUUUAUUGUGUUAAAAGUUUUGCUAGGUUGUCGUAGAUCAAACUUUUGCUUGGUGAAGACAUCCUUUAUUCCAGAAGAAUUACAAAGUCAUAUUCCUUUUCUUGUUGUGUUGGCCACCUAUUGUGGGCAGUUUUAUUUUAAUGAUGCGUUGUUAUUUGGAUAACCUUUCCUUUUUUGAAGUGGUUUAUUCUCAUGAUCAAUGCUAUAUUGGACAUGCAAUCAUCUUCUACGAAAUUUCAUAUAUCUGUGUAUUUGAUCCUUUGGUAUGUAAGAGCUGGUAUUACUAUGUUCUUCACUUCUUCUGGCUUAAUAUUUUAACUUGGACCACGAACAGUGAUGCUAGAAGAAUUCAAGAUAGGUAGGAGAAAACCUGUCAGUCUAAAAUCUCUCUCUGAAGUUUGAGCGGAAUCAUUUGGUUCUAUGAUGGUAGAAGACACAUUCGUUUUCUUGCAUAUAUUAUUAGCUGUAUAAAAUAUUUAUUUUGUAGCUCUAGUCAUUUUUUAGGCUUUUGUAAUUACAAGUGUAACUAAUGACUGCUUCGGCGCUGCUUUUUUUUGGCUUCAGCAAAUGUACUGUUUAAAAUUUUCUUUCCGCUCAUUCAAAUGAAUACUUGUUUCAUAAUAGGUGGAUGUUACAGACUGUAAAGUUUGUCGUUAUAACUAAACCUGGAUCACUGUACACUGUUCUUCGCUUUGGAGAAGAAAAGAUGCAGAAUAACUUUUUAAUGAAACAAAAGAUUGAGGAUUCUUUUUCUUUUAUUUGCAGGCAAAAACACUAAUUUUGAAGCUGACAGCGGAGAAAAAUUCUGCAAUGCAGCAAAGUAACAAGCUUCAGCAAGAACUGGAGUUCUUGAAGCGUGAAAGCAGCAGAAGUCGUGGCGGAAUCCCAUUUAUGUAUGUUGUUAUUGUUGGACUGCUUGGCAUCUUUCUUGGCUAUCUUCUCAAGAAGACAUGACCACUAAGAGGUUGCUGCUGUAUCGUCAGUGCCCCAAGUGUUUAAAAAAUUAUAGAACCUUGAAGAAAAAGGUGACUAAUCCAGUAAAGCUUUGUAUCAUUAGUUGUCUGGUUGACUGAAAUGUACAAGACAGGUUUUAAUCUGUUUCUGUAAUGUGAGCUCAAGAGCUUCAUCGUGUGACUAACUGCAUUUGACAUCCUUUGCCUACAUGUGGAGGAGACAUUUUAGUGCCAAUUAAGCAUACCUCCUGAUUAUGGGACUUGUGCUGCAGCUAGUGUGUCUGUUCACUGAGUUUUUAGAGUUGAUGUGAUCUUAUUGGUAUGGACAGACGGUUUUGAUUUACUUAGACUAGUUUUACAUUUAUAGUUACAACUUUAUUUCUUGAGA